UAUGCUAUACACAGACUCUUGUACUGUACAGCACGUAACAGACACCCAAUAUUUUCUCAAGAAGAGUUUCGUUCAGAACUGUGACCAUGACUCAGGGAAAGAAGGUGGAAGGCCUAGUUACGGUGGAGUUGAUCCACCUGGAGAUGGUGAGAUGCCUACAGAAAUCAGCUCCGAUGACCAAAACAUCAGGAGAAUCUUUAUCCUAAAGAUGUACAUUUCCUUGAUGAUCCAGCUUUCUGUCACAGUUUCCUUCGUGGUUGUUUGCAUUUACUGGAGGCGGUUCCCUUGGAAUCUUAUUGUCUUCACAAUCUUUACCCUAUCUUUUUCUUACAUUACAGGAACGGUGACCAGCUAUGCCUAUUAUAAUGCAGAAGUCAUCUGCUUGCUGGCUAUUACUGAGCUGGUGCAGUUUGUUGUUGCCACCUGUAGCGUCCAAACCAACAUCAACAUGACUCCAUGCCAAAGUUUGAUUUUUGUCGUCUGCUUAGUGGUGUUUGGUAUUGGACUUGUAGCGUUAUUCCCUCAUAUACAUUUUCUAAUUUGGCAUCCUAUUUAUGCUUCUUCAGGAGCAGUAUUGUUUACCAUGGGGAACCGGAGCACCCAGAGGAAACCCACACGAACACGGGAAGAACAUGCAAACUUCAUACAGAAACGCCAACUGACCCAGCCGAGCCUCAAACCAAUGAUCAUCUGGCUGUGAGGUGAUCGUGCUACCCACUGCGCCACCGUGCAGCCUCGAGAAAUUACAACAUUUUUUUGUUUAAAAUGAGAACUCAUUGGUACAUGGGAUGCUGAUGGGAAGUGAGGGAUACACCAUAAGCCCCGAGGAAUACAUACAUCUUCGCCUCUCUCAGGAUUUAUCUGGACAUUGUUUACAUCUUUUUUUUUUCUCCAGCUGUUUGAACUCCUGAAGAGAGUAAUUGUUGAUCCUGAAGCUCUUGCAGCUCUCCUGAGUGUCUCUCUCGGAUGUGAGUGAUCUUGUUCUUUCAGCAAGAUAUGGAUCUUCAGAGCAAAACGUUGUGAUUCACCUCUUUUUUUUUUUUUUAAAGACUUUUACCAUAUGCAACGCUUGUUUAUUUGGUGACGAGGAGGAGGUCUUGCGUAUACAUGGUAUACAUACACUGGUUAAGAUGAACAGCAUCUAUCUAGUUUUGCAAAUGGUGUCAUAAAAACUGAUCAAAAUAUGAUAGCAGUGAAAGUGCAUGAAAUAUUUGGUCAGAACAGAAACAUUACAUGGCAGUGAAACUGUAGUAAAAUGUAUGUCCUUUAUUCGUUUGUGAAUUCGCAGCAUGAUGAUGUCAUUCUAGAAAAUCACUAUAUUGAGAUGGACAGAGAUCUGAGAAGCGCAUAUCAUAUUUUAGGAACGCAUCACCUACUAUACUCUUCAUACUACAACCACCAAACUAACUCCAAACUAUUCUGAAUUAAGUUGCUGUAUCUUUUCCAACUGAUCUGACUCACAGUUUUAUGAAAACUGACCUGAAAAAUUCAGAAAAGUCCCAUUGACUGAACAUUGGACCAACUAUUGUGACCUUAUAACUUUGCUACAGACUAUCAUAAUGACUUAAGACUGGGCUCAUUUAACUCCGACUGCCAAUCUGCCAAUCACUGAUGAACUUUCAACUUACUAACCACACCCUAGCAACCAAUUGCAGGACUCUAGCAAUUGUUCUAUAGACUUCCAGAGAAAUGUAUUGACUUUACAUUGGACAAAAGUUUGUUACCUCAUAACUCUGCACCAGUAUGUCAUACAGACAUAAGUCUGGGCUCAUUUAACUCAGACUACCAUACUUGAAACAUGCUAGCAAAAUACCAAUCCAUACAAGAAUCACACAAGAAACAUACUAACAAUACACCUAUCCAUACUAACAAUAUACUAUAAUCCACACUAUAAACUAUUAAAAUUCUAAUUCAUACUAAAAUCAUACAAGAAACAUGCUAGUUCAUACUUAAAUCAUGCUAACAACAUGCUAUUUCAUAGAAGCAUGCUAGCAACAUGCUAACAGCCUGUUAAAGCAAGCAAGAAAUAUGCCAAUCCAUGCUAAAAUAUACUAACCUAUACUUAUCUGUCUAUGCAAACACUUUCAAGCUUAAAACUACUGCAAUUAUUUGAACUGUAAACUACUUUAAGCUUUCUGUCUCAAAAGUUUGCCUUGACGAUAUUUAAAUUUAGUUGUGAGUUGAUCUGCUAA
This is an RNA transcript of Danio aesculapii, 2192 nucleotides long. It is a transcript of the gene named protein lifeguard 2-like, with no coding region annotated. Lineage: Eukaryota; Metazoa; Chordata; Actinopteri; Cypriniformes; Danionidae. The record is from RefSeq and is a predicted model, not a curated record. The transcript is spliced from 11 exons.